AACUGCUCCUGAGAUCAGCGGCGGACGGGUGAGUAACACGUGGGUAACCUGCCUGUAAGACUGGGAUAACUCCGGGAAACCGGGGCUAAUACCGGAUAACACCUACCCCCGCAUGGGGGAAGGUUGAAAGGUGGCUUCGGCUAUCACUUACAGAUGGACCCGCGGCGCAUUAGCUAGUUGGUGAGGUAACGGCUCACCAAGGCGACGAUGCGUAGCCGACCUGAGAGGGUGAUCGGCCACACUGGGACUGAGACACGGCCCAGACUCCUACGGGAGGCAGCAGUAGGGAAUCUUCCGCAAUGGACGAAAGUCUGACGGAGCAACGCCGCGUGAGUGAAGAAGGUUUUCGGAUCGUAAAACUCUGUUGUUAGGGAAGAACAAGUGCCGUUCGAAUAGGGCGGCACCUUGACGGUACCUAACCAGAAAGCCACGGCUAACUACGUGCCAGCAGCCGCGGUAAUACGUAGGUGGCAAGCGUUGUCCGGAAUUAUUGGGCGUAAAGCGCGCGCAGGUGGUUUCUUAAGUCUGAUGUGAAAGCCCACGGCUCAACCGUGGAGGGUCAUUGGAAACUGGGGAACUUGAGUGCAGAAGAGGAAAGUGGAAUUCCAAGUGUAGCGGUGAAAUGCGUAGAUAUUUGGAGGAACACCAGUGGCGAAGGCGACUUUCUGGUCUGUAACUGACACUGAGGCGCGAAAGCGUGGGGAGCAAACAGGAUUAGAUACCCUGGUAGUCCACGCCGUAAACGAUGAGUGCUAAGUGUUAGAGGGUUUCCGCCCUUUAGUGCUGCAGCUAACGCAUUAAGCACUCCGCCUGGGGAGUACGGUCGCAAGACUGAAACUCAAAGGAAUUGACGGGGGCCCGCACAAGCGGUGGAGCAUGUGUAAUUCGAAGCAACGCGAAGAACCUUACCAGGUCUUGACAUCCUCUGACAACCCUAGAGAUAGGGCUUUCCCCUUCGGGGGACAGAGUGACAGGUGGUGCAUGGUUGUCGUCAGCUCGUGUCGUGAGAUGUUGGGUUAAGUCCCGCAACGAGCGCAACCCUUGAUCUUAGUUGCCAGCAUUCAGUUGGGCACUCUAAGAUGACUGCCGGUGACAAACCGGAGGAAGGUGGGGAUGACGUCAAAUCAUCAUGCCCCUUAUGACCUGGGCUACACACGUGCUACAAUGGACGGUACAAAGGGCUGCAAGACCGCGAGGUUUAGCCAAUCCCAUAAAACCGUUCUCAGUUCGGAUUGUAGGCUGCAACUCGCCUACAUGAAGCUGGAAUCGCUAGUAAUCGCGGAUCAGCAUGC
RNAcentral lists this ribosomal RNA (1292 nucleotides) under Rossellomorea marisflavi. RNAcentral's name for it is "bacterial SSU rRNA". It matches the Rfam family "Bacterial small subunit ribosomal RNA", at positions 78 to 1357 of the family's 1533-position model. Lineage: Bacteria; Bacillati; Bacillota; Bacilli; Caryophanales; Bacillaceae. The record is from RNAcentral.